This is a long non-coding RNA of Dreissena polymorpha, 1008 nucleotides long. RefSeq lists it as uncharacterized. NCBI's taxonomy places the organism in Eukaryota, Metazoa, Mollusca, Bivalvia, Myida, Dreissenidae. The record is from RefSeq and is a predicted model, not a curated record. The transcript has 5 exons.
GUGUUUUUAUAUAAUAUUAUAAUGUUAUUAAUUAGUUGAAUUCAUAUGGGCUUUGUUAUUGAGCUGAAGACAGCCGUAUUAAUAAUAGCAAUAACCACGCACCUGCUAUGCAAAUUAUUGCGCAAUCGGUGUUCAGGCAAAAAGUUGACCGAAAAAUGUGGGGUGUUUUUAACGCUUCACUACGAGCAUGAAAGAAGUAAUCCAAAUGAAAAAUUUGCAUAUGUGGGAGGAGAUAUGUCCAAAUAAGCAGUAUCUGACCUUGCCAUGACCGGAAAAUAAAAAAUCAUUGCUCAAAAGUGAAAGUGAAAAAUUCGAAGGCCAAUAUUUUGCAGAAAGAAUGCAGAUUCACUUGAAAUUUAGCUUUUAAUAAAUCAAUUAUUGUGUUUUUUAAUAAAUUCUAACCAUUUGAAUCAGGUAUAUGCGCGUGAAAUAAUAUAUAUUUAUUUAUUUCCAACACCACUAUUCCUGUGCAGUAGAGUUACUCCCCUUUACGCGGAAUUAUUACAUUGUUGUUACGGUGAAUUCGGGAGCGAUCUUUUGAGCAGUUUUAUGGAUAUCCGUACGAUAAACACACUAUUUGUUUGGCAGGAAGAGAAAUCGUCUCAUUUGGUAUCGAUGCAGAGAACAUGACUGACAAAGAUCUAUUGGACAGUGAUUAUGAUGGGAUUUCACAAAUACAUGAGCACAGUUACAUUGUGAUAUCGGACUCUGACGAGACACAACCACCUUCACCUUUUGGUUGACAGGAAUAUUCCAGUGAAAGAUCAGUUAUUUAACAGCCUUUUUGACAAACAAAUUCCUGGUGCUGCCAUUCCUAAUCAACCGACAUAUCAGAAUUUUGGAUAAGAAUUCAGAUUACUGGCUGCAUAUUCAACCGAAUUUUUGGGUCCUGGGUUGGUGGGGGGUAACGUGUUUCAGACCAGAAUCCUGCCGGACCAUCCUAUUGCAAGGACAUCUAACAUAGCUGAAAUGUAUCUGUAAUGAAUUAUUAAAAGUUUGGAUAAAAAA